GAGUUUGAUCCUGGCUCAGAACGAACGCUGGCGGCGUGCUUAACACAUGCAAGUCAGGGAGAAAGUCUCUUCGGGGAUGAUUAAGCCGGCGCACGGGUGAGUAACACGUGAGUGGCCUGCCUUUUAGACUGGAACAACUUACCGAAAGGUGAGCUAAUGCCGGAUGAGUUAUAUAAGUGCAUGUUUAUAUAGGGAAAGUUGGGGAGACCUGACGCUGAAAGAUGGACUCGCGUCCCAUUAGCUAGUUGGUAGGGUAAUGGCCUACCAAGGCGACGAUGGGUAGCCGGCCUGAGAGGGUGGCCGGCCACACUGGGACUGAGACACGGCCCAGACUCCUACGGGAGGCAGCAGUGGGGAAUUUUGCGCAAUGCUCGUAAGAGUGACGCAGCGACGCCGCGUGAAUGACGAAGGCCUUCGGGUCGUAAAGUUCUUUCGACAGGGAAGAAAAUGCCUAUAAGUAACUGUGUAUGUAUUGACGGUACCUGUAUAAGCAGCCCCGGCUAACUCCGUGCCAGCAGCCGCGGUAAUACGGAGGGGGCGAGCGUUGUUCGGAGUGACUGGGCGUAAAGAGCACGUAGGCGGUGUUGUAAGUCAUUAGUCAAAGACUAGAGCUCAACUUUAGUAAGGCUAGUGAUACUAUAAUACUAGAGUAUCAGAGAGGAUUGCAGAAUUCCUGGUGUGGCGGUGAAAUGC
Molecule: ribosomal RNA, 693 nt
Filed under: uncultured bacterium
Lineage: Bacteria
Description: bacterial SSU rRNA
Rfam family: Bacterial small subunit ribosomal RNA
Source: RNAcentral